This 484-nucleotide ribosomal RNA is filed under the name uncultured bacterium. RNAcentral describes it as "partial 16S ribosomal RNA". It matches the Rfam family "Bacterial small subunit ribosomal RNA", at positions 30 to 507 of the family's 1533-position model. The record is from RNAcentral.
AUUGAACGCUAGCGGGAUGCCUUACACAUGCAAGUCGAACGGCAGCACGGACUUCGGUCUGGUGGCGAGUGGCGAACGGGUGAGUAAUGUAUCGGAACGUGCCCAGUAGCGGGGGAUAACUACGCGAAAGCGUAGCUAAUACCGCAUACGCCCUACGGGGGAAAGCAGGGGAUCGCAAGACCUUGCACUAUUGGAGCGGCCGACAUCGGAUUAGCUAGUUGGUGGGGUAACGGCUGACCAAGGCGAUGAUCCGUAGCUGGUUUGAGAGGACGACCAGCCACACUGGGACUGAGACACGGCCCAGGCUCCUACGGGAGGCCGCAGUGGGGAAUUUUGGACAGUGGGGGGAACCCUGGUCCAGCCGUCCCACGUGUGCGAUGAAGGCCUUCGGGUUGUAAAGCACUUUUGGCAGGAAAGAAACGUCGCGGGUUAAUACCUCGCGAAACUGACGGUACCUGCAGAAUAAGCACCGGCUAACUACGUG